Molecule: ribosomal RNA, 3056 nt
Filed under: Campylobacter jejuni
Lineage: Bacteria; Pseudomonadati; Campylobacterota; Epsilonproteobacteria; Campylobacterales; Campylobacteraceae
Description: 23S ribosomal RNA
Rfam family: Bacterial large subunit ribosomal RNA
Source: RNAcentral
AGGUAAGCUACUAAGAGCGAAUGGUGGAUGCCUUGACUGGUAAAGGCGAUGAAGGACGUACUAGACUGCGAUAAGCUACGGGGAGCUGUCAAGAAGCUUUGAUCCGUAGAUUUCCGAAUGGGGCAACCCAAUGUAUAGAGAUAUACAUUACCUAUAUAGGAGCGAACGAGGGGAAUUGAAACAUCUUAGUACCCUCAGGAAAAGAAAUCAAUAGAGAUUGCGUCAGUAGCGGCGAGCGAAAGCGCAAGAGGGCAAACCCAGUGCUUGCACUGGGGGUUGUAGGACUGCAAUGUGCAAGAGGUAAGUUUAGCAGAACAUUCUGGAAAGUAUAACCAUAGAGGGUGAUAGUCCCGUAUGCGAAAAACAAACCUUAGCUAGCAGUAUCCUGAGUAGGGCGGGACACGAGGAAUCCUGUCUGAAUCCGGGUCGACCACGAUCCAACCCUAAAUACUAAUACCAGAUCGAUAGUGCACAAGUACCGUGAGGGAAAGGUGAAAAGAACUGAGGUGAUCAGAGUGAAAUAGAACCUGAAACCAUUUGCUUACAAUCAUUCAGAGCACUAUGUAGCAAUACAGUGUGAUGGACUGCCUUUUGCAUAAUGAGCCUGCGAGUUGUGGUGUCUGGCAAGGUUAAGCAAACGCGAAGCCGUAGCGAAAGCGAGUCUGAAUAGGGCGCUUAGUCAGAUGCUGCAGACCCGAAACGAAGUGAUCUAUCCAUGAGCAAGUUGAAGCUAGUGUAAGAACUAGUGGAGGACUGAACCCAUAGGCGUUGAAAAGCCCCGGGAUGACUUGUGGAUAGGGGUGAAAGGCCAAUCAAACUUCGUGAUAGCUGGUUCUCUCCGAAAUAUAUUUAGGUAUAGCGUUGUGUCGUAAUAUAAGGGGGUAGAGCACUGAAUGGGCUAGGGCAUACACCAAUGUACCAAACCCUAUCAAACUCCGAAUACCUUAUAUGUAAUCACAGCAGUCAGGCGGCGAGUGAUAAAAUCCGUCGUCAAGAGGGAAACAACCCAGACUACCAGCUAAGGUCCCUAAAUCUUACUUAAGUGGAAAACGAUGUGAAGUUACUUAAACAACCAGGAGGUUGGCUUAGAAGCAGCCAUCCUUUAAAGAAAGCGUAAUAGCUCACUGGUCUAGUGAUUUUGCGCGGAAAAUAUAACGGGGCUAAAGUAAGUACCGAAGCUGUAGACUUGCACACAACUUAGAUUAUUUAAGUUUAGAAUAUGAGAAACUAAGUUAUAUGUUUAGUUAUAUUUUUACUGAUUUUUAUAGAGUAAAGAUAGAAAUAAAACUUAGUAAAAUCAGUAAAAAUAUUCUUAGACUAAAGUUAAGUAGUUUAAGUUGUGUGCAAGUGGUAGGAGAGCGUUCUAUUUGCGUCGAAGGUAUACCGGUAAGGAGUGCUGGAGCGAAUAGAAGUGAGCAUGCAGGCAUGAGUAGCGAUAAUUAAUGUGAGAAUCAUUAACGCCGUAAACCCAAGGUUUCCUACGCGAUGCUCGUCAUCGUAGGGUUAGUCGGGUCCUAAGUCGAGUCCGAAAGGGGUAGACGAUGGCAAAUUGGUUAAUAUUCCAAUACCAACAUUAGUGUGCGAUGGAAGGACGCUUAGGGCUAAGGGGGCUAGCGGAUGGAAGUGCUAGUCUAAGGUCGUAGGAGGUUGUACAGGCAAAUCCGUAUAACAAUACUCCGAGAACUGAAAGGCUUUUUGAAGUCUUCGGAUGGAUAGAAGAACCCCUGAUGCCGUCGAGCCAAGAAAAGUUUCUAAGUUUAGCUAAUGUUGCCCGUACCGUAAACCGACACAGGUGGGUGGGAUGAGUAUUCUAAGGCGCGUGGAAGAACUCUCUUUAAGGAACUCUGCAAAAUAGCACCGUAUCUUCGGUAUAAGGUGUGGUUAGCUUCGUACUAGGAUUUACUCCGAAAGCGAAGAAACUUACAACAAAGAGUCCCUCCCGACUGUUUACCAAAAACACAGCACUCUGCUAACUCGUAAGAGGAUGUAUAGGGUGUGACGCCUGCCCGGUGCUCGAAGGUUAAUUGAUGGGGUUAGCAUUAGCGAAGCUCUUGAUCGAAGCCCGAGUAAACGGCGGCCGUAACUAUAACGGUCCUAAGGUAGCGAAAUUCCUUGUCGGUUAAAUACCGACCUGCAUGAAUGGCGUAACGAGAUGGGAGCUGUCUCAAAGAGGGAUCCAGUGAAAUUGUAGUGGAGGUGAAAAUUCCUCCUACCCGCGGCAAGACGGAAAGACCCCGUGGACCUUUACUACAGCUUGACACUGCUACUUGGAUAAGAAUGUGCAGGAUAGGUGGGAGGCUUUGAGUAUAUGACGCCAGUUGUAUAUGAGCCAUUGUUGAGAUACCACUCUUUCUUAUUUGGGUAGCUAACCAGCUUGAGUUAUCCUCAAGUGGGACAAUGUCUGGUGGGUAGUUUGACUGGGGCGGUCGCCUCCCAAAUAAUAACGGAGGCUUACAAAGGUUGGCUCAGAACGGUUGGAAAUCGUUCGUAGAGUAUAAAGGUAUAAGCCAGCUUAACUGCAAGACAUACAAGUCAAGCAGAGACGAAAGUCGGUCUUAGUGAUCCGGUGGUUCUGUGUGGAAGGGCCAUCGCUCAAAGGAUAAAAGGUACCCCGGGGAUAACAGGCUGAUCUCCCCCAAGAGCUCACAUCGACGGGGAGGUUUGGCACCUCGAUGUCGGCUCAUCGCAUCCUGGGGCUGGAGCAGGUCCCAAGGGUAUGGCUGUUCGCCAUUUAAAGCGGUACGCGAGCUGGGUUCAGAACGUCGUGAGACAGUUCGGUCCCUAUCUGCCGUGGGCGUAAGAAGAUUGAAGAGAUUUGACCCUAGUACGAGAGGACCGGGUUGAACAAACCACUGGUGUAGCUGUUGUUCUGCCAAGAGCAUCGCAGCGUAGCUAAGUUUGGAAAGGAUAAACGCUGAAAGCAUCUAAGCGUGAAGCCAACUCUAAGAUGAAUCUUCUCUAAGCUCUCUAGAAGACUACUAGUUUGAUAGGCUGGGUGUGUAAUGGAUGAAAGUCCUUUAGCUGACCAGUACUAAUAGAGCGUUUGGCUUAUCUUU